AACCCCCGAGGCAAUGGCCAAAGAGAUACCUUGUUGGUGGUGAUUUUCUUACAUCAGUCGGUAGCAGAGCAGAUGGCAGUCCUUUGUUCAUCCUAGCUUGAUGCUUGGCUUAGUGGCCAAAGCUGUCUUAUGCUUAGGAAUCAUCA
Rattus norvegicus (Norway rat) is the source of this 146-nucleotide small nucleolar RNA. Ensembl annotates it as small nucleolar RNA SNORA48. The record is from Ensembl. NCBI's taxonomy places the organism in Eukaryota, Metazoa, Chordata, Mammalia, Rodentia, Muridae.